Molecule: long non-coding RNA, 1137 nt
Filed under: Prunus dulcis (almond)
Lineage: Eukaryota; Viridiplantae; Streptophyta; Magnoliopsida; Rosales; Rosaceae
Description: sRNA ncRNA
Source: RNAcentral
CUAGCACAUACAAACAAUCAAGAUAACCCAAAGCAUAGUCUUUCCAGAAAACUCAAUCAAACUUGGAACUUUCUUGCUACCAAACACAGAUAUGGCGCCAACCUUCUGGUUAAUCAUGAAAAGAAAACACCAAUCGUACCUCUUCAUAGAAGAAAAAAAUGUACAACAAGAAUCAAGAACGUCCAAAGAUCAGUACUUUCUGAGAUACUAACCCAACAUCACACAUGAUUUCUAUUAUAUAUCUUUAGAUCACCAAGGAGCGAACAACUUUGUAUUGUUUGCUAUGGUGUAUAUGCCUCAACAUGUACAUAUUUUCUAAAUAAGAGAAAAAAGUAAAACACAAGAAGAUUGGCGGGCUUCCUACUUGAUCAAUCUUGACUGAUUUAUAUUCUAUGAAAACAAUCAAAUCUGCAACCUACGAUCCUCAAGACCAGACAGCCAAAUUCAAAAAGGAGCAAGACUGCCAUAUCAUUAAACUAAAAUAUGUAUUAUUUACAACGGGAACAUGGGCAAAAAGUACUGGAUAAAGAAAAAAGAAAACAAGGGAGCAAGAGCCAAAAAAAAAAAACAGAACUAAACCCUCUGUUUUUCAAUUCUAGAGAGAUGCAUAGACCAUCCACCAAAACGCCCAUCUUCGCUAAGCUCCAAGAAACGAGGACUCCUCCUAAGAGUCACCAACAGAGAUGGGUCAGCAAGAAAUUCCCAAAGGGGAUCGAGAGAUCUGCCUGGUCAUGGUGAUCUCUCCAAGGACAGGUCUCAUCUCUGGCUUUCCCGGCAACCAAUCAAUUAUUUUCUCGGAUUCUUGCUUGAUCUUUCUCACUUGGCUGUGAACAGGAAAACCCAUUUCCUCAAAGCCUUCCCUCUGUCUGUUGUUGUUGUUGCUGUUCCUGUUCUCCAUCUUCUUGUUGUGGAUUCACAGAGGCUCUGCUUCCAACUAUACUUAUCCUAUUUUUUCCUAGCUAGUAUAUGUUUAUGUAAUAUCUGUAUGUAAAUCUUAAAGGACAGUUGAGAAGCAUGUGGGUAUAUAUAGAGCAGAAGGUCGGGUCGAUUAAGAAGAAGAUCAAGUAUGAAACGUGGGACGGCAAGGAAGAGCAGUUUGGUGGAAAAAUAUCAAAUCUUCGGAUUAGUUUGAGUCGA